This 497-nucleotide ribosomal RNA is filed under the name uncultured bacterium. Its description in RNAcentral is "partial 16S ribosomal RNA". It matches the Rfam family "Bacterial small subunit ribosomal RNA", at positions 28 to 507 of the family's 1533-position model. The record is from RNAcentral.
GAUGAACGCUGGCGGCGUGCCUAAUACAUGCAAGUCGAGCGAACGGACGAGUAGCUUGCUUCUCUGAUGUUAGCGGCGGACGGGUGAGUAACACGUGGAUAACCUACCUUUAAGACUGGGCUAACUUCGGGAAACCGGAGCUAAUCCCGGUUGAUAUUUUGAACCGCAUGGUUCAAAAGUGAAAGACGGUCUUGCUGUCUCUUAUAGAUGGAUCCGCGCUGCAUUAGCUAGUUGGUAAGGUAACGGCUUACCAAGGAAACGAUGCAUAGCCGACCUGAGAGGGUGAUCGGCCACACUGGAACGGAGACACGGUCCAGACUCCUACGGGAGGCAGCAGAAGGGAAUCUUCCGCAAUGGGCGAAAGCCUGACGGAGCAACGCCGCGUGAGGGAUGAAGGUCUUCGGAUCGUAAAACUCUGUUAUUAGGGAAGAACAUAUGUGUAAGUAACUGUGCACAUCGUGACGGUACCUAAUCAGAAAGCCACGGCUAACUACGUG